This 489-nucleotide ribosomal RNA is filed under the name uncultured bacterium. RNAcentral's name for it is "partial 16S ribosomal RNA". It matches the Rfam family "Bacterial small subunit ribosomal RNA", at positions 30 to 506 of the family's 1533-position model. The record is from RNAcentral.
AUUGAACGCUGGCGGCAGGCCUAACACAUGCAAGUCGAACGGUAACAGGAAGAAGCUUGCUUCUUUGCUGACGAGUGGCGGACGGGUGAGUAAUGUCUGGGAAACUGCCUGAUGGAGGGGGAUAACUACUGGAAACGGUAGCUAAUACCGCAUAACGUCGCAAGACCAAAGAGGGGGACCUUCGGGCCUCUUGCCAUCGGAUGUGCCCAGAUGGGAUUAGCUAGUAGGUGGGGUAACGGCUCACCUAGGCGACGAUCCCUAGCUGGUCUGAGAGGAUGACCAGCCACACUGGAACUGAGACACGGUCCAGACUCCUACGGAAGGCAGCAGUGGGGAAUAUUGCACAAUGGGCGCAAGCCUGAUGCAGCCAUGCCGCGUGUAUGAAGAAGGCCUUCGGGUUGUAAAGUACUUUCAGCGGGGAGGAAGGGAGUAAAGUUAAUACCUUUGCUCAUUGACGUUACCCGCAGAAGAAGCACCGGCUAACUCCGU